CACGUAAGGGGCAAGCGUUGUUCGGAAUUACUGGGCGUAAAGCGCACGUAGGCGGCUUUGUAAGUUAGAGGUGAAAGCCCGGAGCUCAACUCCGGAAUUGCCUUUAAGACUGCAUCGCUAGAACGUUGGAGAGGUAAGUGGAAUUCCGAGUGUAGAGGUGAAAUUCGUAGAUAUUCGGAAGAACACCAGUGGCGAAGGCGACUUACUGGACAACUGUUGACGCUGAGGUGCGAAAGCGUGGGGAGCAAAC
This 250-nucleotide ribosomal RNA is filed under the name uncultured bacterium. Its description in RNAcentral is "partial 16S ribosomal RNA". It matches the Rfam family "Bacterial small subunit ribosomal RNA", at positions 524 to 773 of the family's 1533-position model. The record is from RNAcentral.